AUCAGGAUGGCUGAGCGGUCUAAGAUGCCAAACUCAAGGUUCAGGUCUUCUCCCUGGGUAAAGGAGGUUUCUGGUCUGUAAAUGGAGGUGUGGGUUCAAAUCCGACUUCUGACA
Molecule: non-coding RNA, 114 nt
Organism: Ameiurus melas (black bullhead)
Lineage: Eukaryota; Metazoa; Chordata; Actinopteri; Siluriformes; Ictaluridae
Source: the annotation of a GenBank genome assembly